UCCAGGACUGGCCAGGAGGCCAGUGUGGUAGCCAAGGGGAGCAGUAGGGAAGAUGGGGUGUGUGGGGACAUGGCUUGGAGGAGGCAAAUGCCGGGUGGGAGAGAGCAAGGACAGAGCGCCCCACGGUCCUGCCGGGGUGUGGGGCCAGCUGGACGGCCUUGGAUAGGAGGUAUGCAUGUGAGUGCGUGUCUGUGAUGUGGACAUCUGCAUGUGGGUCCGUGUGUGGUGUUGUGCAUCCCUGUGUAUCUGUGUGUGCCCAUCUGUGCACCUGCAUCAUGUGUCUCUGAUUCAGGCAGUUAGUGCUUCUGUAUUUGUAGGUGCCUGUGGGCAUCAGUAGUGUAUUGUGGGUGUGUGUUGUGUGCCUGGAAUUUGGUGUGACUUUGUAGGUGCAGGUCUGUGUGUGUCACGUCUUUUUUUGGCAGGUGCCUGGACGUGUAUGUGUAGUGUUGUUUGUCUGCCAUGUAUUUGGGCAUGUGUGGGUGUGUGUAUGUGCAUGAGAGUGUAGCAGGAGAGUCUGUGUUCCUGUGAUUGUGGCAUGGUGACAAGUUUUGAGGUUCCUGUGGGUGCAAGGGCACGGGAAGGAGCCUUCCUGCAGACCCACCCCAGGCCAGCAGCAGCCUCUCCCCAUGGCAGCAGAUACACACUCGUUCUGAUGCUCCGGGAGGAAGCUGGGCAAGCAGCCCCAGAGCAGCAGGUGGAGAAAGCGGGCGAGGGCUCAGCUCAGCCACCUUUUCUAGGCCUUUCAGGGCCCAUCAGAAGCUCCCAUGGAAGAUGUGGAGGUUGGGGGGCAGUAGACAUUCACAGGCCUGGGAAUGGGGGUGCUUGAGUAUCUGGGGCACCCACUGGGAACUCUGGCCUCCUUGGGCUUAAUGGGUGGAGCUGGGUUUGUGCACACACGGGGUGGGGGCAACUACAUGCACUGAGCUCACGCCAGGGUGUGGGAGGAGACACUGCCCAGCGUAGGCACAGAUGAACACACGUAUGGAAGGAUAAGUAUGUAUUCAAGGGUGGACACAUGUGAACACAGACACUUGUAUGUAGGGACAAACAUUUGUGUGCAGGGACAGACACACACAUACAAAUAGACACAGGUGCAGGAGCAGACACUUCUGUGCAUAAAUGGAUAUGAGUGUACAUGGAUAAACACACAUGAUUGUCCUCUGUGGGCCCCAGAACCUCUCCUGCACACACAUGCACACACAUACACACUGACUCACACACACUCAUGUGUGUGCAGGGCCUGGUCCACCAUGCACACCAUGCAUAUA
RNAcentral lists this long non-coding RNA (1268 nucleotides) under Macaca fascicularis (crab-eating macaque). RNAcentral describes it as "lncRNA (ENSMFAG00000058426.1)". The record is from RNAcentral. Lineage: Eukaryota; Metazoa; Chordata; Mammalia; Primates; Cercopithecidae.